RNAcentral lists this ribosomal RNA (492 nucleotides) under uncultured bacterium. Its description in RNAcentral is "partial 16S ribosomal RNA". It matches the Rfam family "Bacterial small subunit ribosomal RNA", at positions 29 to 507 of the family's 1533-position model. The record is from RNAcentral.
AGUGAACGCUGGCGGUAGGCCUAACACAUGCAAGUCGAACGGCAGCACAGUAAGAGCUUGCUCUUACGGGUGGCGAGUGGCGGACGGGUGAGGAAUACAUCGGAAUCUACUUUUUCGUGGGGGAUAACGUAGGGAAACUUACGCUAAUACCGCAUACGACCUACGGGUGAAAGCAGGGGAUCUUCGGACCUUGCGCGAUUGAAUGAGCCGAUGUCGGAUUAGCUAGUUGGCGGGGUAAAGGCCCACCAAGGCGACGAUCCGUAGCUGGUCUGAGAGGAUGAUCAGCCACACUGGAACUGAGACACGGUCCAGACUACUAAGGGAGGCAGCAGUGGGGAAUGUUGGACAAUGGGCGGAAGCCUGAUCCAGCCAUACCGCGUGGGUGAAGAAGGCCUUCGGGUUGUAAAGCCCUUUUGUUGGGAAAGAAAAGCAGCAGGUUAAUACCCAGCUGUUCUGACGGUAACCAAAGAAUAAGCACCGGCUAACUUCGUG